This is a long non-coding RNA of Neogale vison (American mink), 755 nucleotides long. RefSeq lists it as uncharacterized. The transcript is spliced from 4 exons. The record is from RefSeq and is a predicted model, not a curated record. NCBI's taxonomy places the organism in Eukaryota, Metazoa, Chordata, Mammalia, Carnivora, Mustelidae.
CUCGUGAAGGAGUCCAAGACUACAGCUUUCUGAGGCCCAGCCUCCUGAAAUGGAAAAUACCAACAAUGGAAAACACCAGGAUUCUGUAUUUAAGAAAAUCACCGCAGGUCGCCCGGUGCUGGUUUAGAAACCAUGGCUUAGGUGGAACCCCUCGAAGAGCACGGAGCAGGAGGCACGCUCGGCAGCGGCUGAGGAGACAGAUGUGCACUAAUGCUUUACAGACCCAGUGCUUGUCACUUGGAACCUGUUCUCGUCACAUCCUUCCCCCUCCCGCCCUCGAGCUGUGUGACUGCCCACAGCACUCAGAUCAUUCCAAGAAGAUUCUUGGGCUGGAAAAGCAACUUCCAAGAAGGUGAGGGUAAUUCUACCUGCCGCCUGCUACUGCGGAAGGUGACCAGAGAAGUCUCCUUUGCUGGCAAAGAUGGAAGGUUUUCUAGUGACUGUGCUUACCUGGCCCUGGGUCGUGGCCGCUGUUGGCAGGGGAGGCAGGUAACGGCCAUCACAGCUGGCACCAGCGUGGGCUGCUCAGACCCCAGGCUGGCCCGGGACAGGAGGCCCAGCAAGGCAAGGCUGCAGGAGAAGCAGCAGCAUCUCAUGGGCCGGAAGUGAUCAAGUGUUCACCACGACUGCAAAGGAACCAAAAGAGAAUAGUUUCGCUGUGUCUACAGAAAGGCCGUGCAUCCUGCCCGCGGCAUUUGCUUGUGGCCACAGCGGUGAGCUCAGCCCGGACCAUGUACAGGGACGGAGCGAGGAGA